CAGGGUCCUCUGUGAUGGAAACAGUGGUCUUGCUGGGCAGUUUCACCCUCAACAAAUGAAGAAAGAAGAUUUUUCUCCUGGACGUGAAACUGAAGUCCAGACUGCAAAAUGGUCAGCCCUCCUUUGAGGAAGAAGGGUAUGUAGCCUCACGUUGAGUUGUCUUGCCCCACACUGCAACAGAGGCCUUGAAUUCUGUGUAAGAAGACCUUUGACCCAUGGAUGCUAAUCAGCAAGCCAGAGUCGUUAGCACUUCUUAGUUUUGUCAGCCUCCACGACAGCAUGAGACAAUUCAGCACAAUAAAUCUCUUUCCAUGUAUGUUUAUAAAUAUUCCAUUAGUUCUGUUUCUCUGGAGAACCCUGACUGGUACAAGUGUUAAACCCAGAGGAAAGAGUAACUACUUCCAUCAGUCUGCCAGCCAGACCCAGGCCUCUUAAGGGGCGACUCUUUUUUUUUCAUGAGCCAUUAUACUGUACUCCAUGAUUCACUUCAGAGAUCUUGGUGGGUGCUGGAAACUUGGUUGUGUUAUAUCAAGAUGGAGUGGAUCAGGGAGGAUACUGUGAAAGCAGAUCGAAGGCUCAUUAGAAAGGCCAGUCACAAGGCAGCUUGGAAGACGCUGGUUCUCCUUUUCAGUACAAAGAGAUGAAAGGGAACCGAAAAGUCGGGAUGGGCAACUUGUACAAAGAAGAAGUCAACCAGCUACUUAGAGGAAGAAGAGAUGGAUGGGAACCAUCAGCACCAACUACUCACUGGUAGCCAUAGGAGCAGAAAAGGCCAGAGCGCCACACCUCCAGGCUCCAGGGGCUUCCUGAGGUAUACUUUGUGCAAAGGACCCAUUUCCACUUUUUCAUCAUCUCUUUUUUCUACUGCCUUUCUGUUGGACUGAGAUGGAUAUGUGCUGUGAGGCAUCUCCCUGCACAUGGGACGAACAACAUUCUCUCUCCUUGGUUCUUCAGAUCGACUGAAAGUGAUCUCUUUCAGUAAAUUGCCUAAAUCAAGUUCUGUUUCUGAUGUUGGUAUGAAACCCAGAUCCUUUUGUGGCAUGGCUUUGCCAUUAAGCAACACCUCCGGUCUCAUGUGAAUAGAUUCUAGCCUGUGAGCAGAAAUAUACGGACGCUUCC
Molecule: non-coding RNA, 1119 nt
Organism: Mus caroli (Ryukyu mouse)
Lineage: Eukaryota; Metazoa; Chordata; Mammalia; Rodentia; Muridae
Source: RefSeq, a predicted model, not a curated record